RNAcentral lists this unclassified non-coding RNA (228 nucleotides) under uncultured fungus. RNAcentral's name for it is "sequence contains ITS1, 5.8S rRNA gene". The stretch from base 180 to 228 matches the Rfam family "5.8S ribosomal RNA", at positions 1 to 49 of the family's 154-position model. Lineage: Eukaryota; Fungi. The record is from RNAcentral.
UUUCCGUAGGUGAACCUGCGGAGGGAUCAUUACUGAGUGAGGGCCUUUGGGCUCGACCUCCAACCCUUUUGUGAACCACCUCGUUGCUUCGGGGGCGACCCUGCCGCUUCGGCGGUGCGGCGACCCCGGAGGCCAUUAAACACUGCAUCAUUGCGUCGGAGUUAAAGUAAAUUAAACAAAACUUUCAACAACGGAUCUCUUGGUUCCAGCAUCGAUGAAGAACGCAGC